AGAGUUUGAUCAUGGCUCAGGAUGAACGCUGGCGGCGUGCUUAAUACAUGCAAGUCGAACGCAGGUGCAGCAAUGUAUCUGAGUGGCGAACGGGUGAGUAACGCGUGGGUGACCUGCCCCGAAGAGCGGGAUAACAGUUCGAAAGGACUGCUAAUACCGCAUGUGGAUGCAAGGGUUAGAGGCCCUGCAUCUAAAGGUGCAAACCGCUUUGGGAGGGGCCUGCGUCCCAUCAGCUGGUUGGUGAGGUAAAAGCUCACCAAGGCGACGACGGGUAGGGGACCUGAGAGGGUGAUCCCCCACACUGGCACUGAAACACGGGCCAGACACCUACGGGUGGCAGCAGUAGGGAAUAUUGCACAAUGGGCGCAAGCCUGAUGCAGCAACGCCGCGUGCGCGAUGAAGGCCUUCGGGUCGUAAAGCGCUUUUCUGGAGGACGAGGAAGGGCGGUACUCCAGGAAGAAGGCUCGGCUAACUACGUGCCAGCCGCCGCGGUAAUAC
Molecule: ribosomal RNA, 498 nt
Filed under: uncultured bacterium
Lineage: Bacteria
Description: bacterial SSU rRNA
Rfam family: Bacterial small subunit ribosomal RNA
Source: RNAcentral